Molecule: ribosomal RNA, 465 nt
Filed under: uncultured Pseudomonadaceae bacterium
Lineage: Bacteria; Pseudomonadati; Pseudomonadota; Gammaproteobacteria; Pseudomonadales; Pseudomonadaceae
Description: bacterial SSU rRNA
Rfam family: Bacterial small subunit ribosomal RNA
Source: RNAcentral
CCUACGGGGGGCAGCAGUGGGGAAUAUUGGACAAUGGGCGAAAGCCUGAUCCAGCCAUGCCGCGUGUGUGAAGAAGGUCUUCGGAUUGUAAAGCACUUUAAGUUGGGAGGAAGGGUUGUAACCUAAUACGUUGCAACUUUGACGUUACCGACAGAAUAAGCACCGGCUAACUUCGUGCCAGCAGCCGCGGUAAUACGAAGGGUGCAAGCGUUAAUCGGAAUUACUGGGCGUAAAGCGCGCGUAGGUGGUUUGAUAAGUUGGAUGUGAAAGCCCCGGGCUCAACCUGGGAAUUGCAUCCAAAACUGUCUGACUAGAGUACGGUAGAGGGUAGUGGAAUUUCCUGUGUAGCGGUGAAAUGCGUAGAUAUAGGAAGGAACACCAGUGGCGAAGGCGACUACCUGGACUGAUACUGACACUGAGGUGCGAAAGCGUGGGGAGCAAACAGGAUUAGAUACCCUAGUAGUC